Molecule: unclassified non-coding RNA, 186 nt
Filed under: uncultured Russula
Lineage: Eukaryota; Fungi; Basidiomycota; Agaricomycetes; Russulales; Russulaceae
Description: sequence contains ITS1
Source: RNAcentral
UCGUACAACUGAGGUGCAAGGGCUGUCGCUGACCUUCAAGGGUCGUGCACGCCCAAGCCCUCUCACACAUCCAUCUCACCCCUUUGUGCAUCACCGCGUGGGCCCCCCUUUGCAGGAGGGCUUGCGUUUUCACAUAAAACUCGAUACAGUGUAGAAUGUUUCUUUUGCGGUCACACGCAAUCAAUA